RNAcentral lists this non-coding RNA (2965 nucleotides) under synthetic construct. The record is from RNAcentral.
UAAUGUGUUCAAAAAUGGACCUUGAAACCCGUGAAGGUGGUGGUUGCCAGCAGGUUUCAAUUCUCAUGGUCACAUCUGACAGAGAAAAGGAACAGUAUGAGAAAUUUAUGAACAUACUUAAGAAUCUUUCAAAUUGUACUGAUAUAUCUCAGGUCGUGGCAGAUGCUAAAAAAAUCUAUGAUUCCAGGGAAUUUUGUUAUGUGCCUGCCCUUCUCACUCUGUUCAAGAAGUUGCCUUCUGUUCAUAAAUGGCCUGAAAAUGAAAACUGUAAUGAGGUGCUAAGUGCUGCCUUCUUUGUGUGCCAGCUCUUAUUUUUUCAUAACUUCCCAGCCUCACCAGCUUUUACAGUGGAUGAAAUGUUUGCAACAGUGGCUGCUAGAUUGAAGGAUCUGAUAGAAUAUUCAUGUGACUGUGAGAACUGUGAAUUGUUGGCUGAAUCCCUGACAAAUUAUAAGUUUUCCCUGGUACCUAUAAAGAUCAGGCCACACACCGAUACCUGUGUCUCACUGAAAACACUCCAGCGGCUACGGACUGCCAUGUUAGGCAAUCCUGAAACCCUGAGUAUUUGGACCCUUGAUGACCUGGUGGAGGACCCAGUAGUCUUCAAAGGCUAUGAAAGCGCAAUUAGGAGAGAAUUUGCUGAGCAUGUCACAUGUUUGAACAUGUGCUGGGUUGUGAAGAUAAUCUUGGACUGCAUGUCUCAGCCAACAGCUCUGCUUCGGGAUUGUAUUCAGAAGGGUGCAAAGAAUAAUGGACUCCAGCUGGACACUUCGAGUACCUGGACGUGGCCAGCAGCACGUAUUGCUGAAAAGGAAGUCAUAGAACAUACCAUGAGUGUUUGUGUACAGGAUAUGACUAGAAGUCAUGAUCAGGAAUUCUACACAGAGGCCUUUAAGGAAGAUCUCCAUAUAGGAUUAAAGAGACUAGUUGCCAUGGUCCUUGGGCAGAAUCAUAGUUGGUUAGAUGGCUUUCUGACAGACACUAUAGUGACAGGUAAAGCAUAGCCUGGGGCAUAGUUCUUUGAUGAAUCAUCAUAAAUAUGAUGGCUAAUGUGGUCCUUUUGUGUAUUAAUGCAGAUAUGUUUAUGUAUCCAGGUGUGUUGCUUGAAAGGUAUUUUGCUGUACUAACCCAACACCACCUAUUUAUCAUGUUUGGAAGCCUAUUAAAAACUGUGCUAUUGACUCUGGCGUUUGUGUCUUUGUCUACUUGUGACUCAAAAAUUUUACCCAAGCAUUGUUGCCAUAUUUCUGCAACCCCUACUGAGAAAAAAUCCUGGAACUUCCUGUCCUCCAUAACUGAGAUAUAUCUUAGUAGUCCAUCUUCGUGUGGGAAUAUCAAUGUGGCCCAGGUGAAAGUGAAAACCAAGACAGGAUACCACUUAGAAUGUGCAAAUGGUUUUGGACUCAUGGGCUUUCUUGAAGCCGUGGUCAGCAGGUUUAGAGACCCCACCCCCGAUGACGUUGAGUUCCUUAAACAACUUAAAUUGUUGCACGAUCAGUUUGAUGAGGUAUUUUCAGCAAGCACUGCCAACAGCUCCUCCUUUAAGGUCGCCGCCUGGUAACCAUGGACACUUGGCUAAAAACGCAUGUGUGGUCCCUGAAUGUUAUGCAGAGAGACUCAGUAAUGGAUUUUCUACCUCAAUCCUGGAUAGACUACUUACAACUCUCCGCGUUUUCAUCCAAGAAGCUUGAGCAGAUUAUGGCUGCAGUAGAAAACAGAAGAAAACAAAAUAUUGUCUAUCCUGAUAGUGAGGAUGUGAUGCGCUGGGCAUUUUCCUGCCCUCCUGAAAAUGUUAGGGUUGUUAUUCUGGGACAGGAUCCCUAUCAUGGGGGCCAGGCCAAUGGUUUGGCCUUUAGUGUUCAUGAAAACUUUCCAGUCCCACCGAGCUUACACAACAUUUUCCAAGAACUUAAAAGGUCAGUGCCUGAUUUUCAAAUUCCCCCUUCUGGCUGUCUUGAUAAGUGGGCAGAACAGGGAGUUCUUCUGCUUAACUGCAUCCUGACUGUAGAUAAGGGACGGCCUGGUUCUCACCACAAACUUGGAUGGGGAUGGUUCACAGACUAUGUCAUUUCUACAAUCUCUGAAAAGAAUGAUAAGUGUGUUUUUAUGCUGUGGGGAAACAAGGCAAUAGAAAAGGAAGUUCUGAUCAAUGGCAGUAAGCAUCUUGUAUUAAAGGCGCAACAUCCUUCCCCCCUGGCAUCUCUUGGUGGCUACUCAUCAAAACAGGCCCCGUUUUUGGGCUGUAACCACUUUUCAAUUGCCAACACAUAUUUAACGCAGCACAACAAACCCUCAAUUUCUUGGAACUUAUAAUGGACCCCUUUAAGAAACCAGUGAGAAUGUUGCCCAUAAAGGGGGCCCCGAUCUCUCGACCAAUAAGUGUUUUUACAUUUGACGUGUUUAACCCCCCGGACGAUUCCGAUGGGUCAUCAACUCCAGACUCAGUGUUUGAGGCGGAGACCAGCCCAGCAAGAACUCCUCCAACUCCCGCCUUGAUUCUACCCUAUGAUUAUGUGAGCAGUGAAGACUCUGAUGAUGAAGCACAAGAACAUGCGGAUAACCGGGACACUAAUGACCAGGUCAGCGAGUCAAGUACAAGUGAGGACUCUGAUUCAGAGUCUGAAAGUUCAUGUGACGAUACCCAGCAGACUUUCGUGGACGAUGAGUCCACCAGCUCUUCUGGCGAGGAAGACAGAGAUGAUCCUUUUGAGUCAAAUGACCAGGGCGCGCAGGGCGGGUCGACCUCUGAGUCUGAGGAUGACCUCCCUGCAAUACUGAGGGCUGCACGCGAGACACAAAGUGACAGCUCUAGUGACAGUUCCGGCAACUCCCAUAAAAAAAGGCGAGUGCAGGAAGAAGAAAGUAGUCGCAUCUUGAAAACCCCAGCCCCCAUUUCUGGUAAUGGAAAAUAUAACUGGCCAUGGUUGGAUUGAAACUUUAUUCAAUAAAAAUUAAUAUACAAGUA